This 433-nucleotide ribosomal RNA is filed under the name uncultured bacterium. RNAcentral describes it as "bacterial SSU rRNA". It matches the Rfam family "Bacterial small subunit ribosomal RNA", at positions 917 to 1350 of the family's 1533-position model. The record is from RNAcentral.
GGGCCCGCACAAGCGGUGGAGUAUGUGGUUUAAUUCGAUGCAACGCGAAGAACCUUACCAGGGUUUGACAUCCUGCGAAUCUCUUGGAAACUUGAGAGUGCCUUCGGGAGCGCAGUGACAGGUGGUGCAUGGCUGUCGUCAGCUCGUGUCGUGAGAUGUUGGGUUAAGUCCCGCAACGAGCGCAACCCACGUCUUUAGUUGCCAGCAUUUAGUUGGGCACUCUAGAGAGACUGCCGGUGAUAAACCGGAGGAAGGUGUGGAUGACGUCAAGUCAUCAUGCCCCUUACAUCCUGGGCUACACACGUACUACAAUGCUACGGACAAAGGGCUGCAAGUUCGCGAGGACAAGCAAAAUCCCAUAAACCGUGGCUCAGUUCAGAUCGUAGGCUGCAACUCGCCUACGUGAAGGCGGAAUCGCUAGUAAUCGCAGGUC